Molecule: ribosomal RNA, 376 nt
Filed under: Clostridioides difficile
Lineage: Bacteria; Bacillati; Bacillota; Clostridia; Peptostreptococcales; Peptostreptococcaceae
Description: bacterial LSU rRNA
Rfam family: Bacterial large subunit ribosomal RNA
Source: RNAcentral
AAGCUGUGGAAGCACAUUUCUUGUGUGACCGCGUACUUUUUGUAGAACGGGCCAACGAGUUACGUUAAGUAGCAAGGUUAAGCACUUAAGGUGCGGAGCCGUAGCGAAAGCGAGUUUUAACUGAGCGGUCAGUUACUUGACGUAGACCCGAAACCGGGCGACCUACCCAUGAGCAGGAUGAAGCGAAAGUAAAAUUUCGUGGAGGUCCGAACCCACGAGCGUUGAAAAGCUCGGGGAUGACUUGUGGGUAGCGGUGAAAUUCCAAUCGAGCCCGGAGAUAGCUGGUUCUCCCCGAAAUAGCUUUAGGGCUAGCCUCAAGGUGAGAGAUACGGAGGUAGAGCACUGAAUGUCCUAGGGGGUAUUGCACCUACCGAAG